AGAGUUUGAUCCUGGCUCAGGACGAACGCUGGCGGCGUGCCUAAUACAUGCAAGUAGAACGCUGAAGGAGGAGCUUGCUUCUCUGGAUGAGUUGCGAACGGGUGAGUAACGCGUAGGUAACCUGCCUGGUAGCGGGGGAUAACUAUUGGAAACGAUAGCUAAUACCGCAUAAGAGUAGAUGUUGCAUGACAUUUGCUUAAAAGGUGCACUUGCAUCACUACCAGAUGGACCUGCGUUGUAUUAGCUAGUUGGUGGGGUAACGGCUCACCAAGGCGACGAUACAUAGCCGACCUGAGAGGGUGAUCGGCCACACUGGGACUGAGACACGGCCCAGACUCCUACGGGAGGCAGCAGUAGGGAAUCUUCGGCAAUGGACGGAAGUCUGACCGAGCAACGCCGCGUGAGUGAAGAAGGUUUUCGGAUCGUAAAGCUCUGUUGUAAGAGAAGAACGAGUGUGAGAGUGGAAAGUUCACACUGUGACGGUAUCUUACCAGAAAGGGACGGCUAACUACGUGCCAGCAGCCGCGGUAAUACGUAGGUCCCGAGCGUUGUCCGGAUUUAUUGGGCGUAAAGCGAGCGCAGGCGGUUAGAUAAGUCUGAAGUUAAAGGCUGUGGCUUAACCAUAGUAGGCUUUGGAAACUGUUUAACUUGAGUGCAAGAGGGGAGAGUGGAAUUCCAUGUGUAGCGGUGAAAUGCGUAGAUAUAUGGAGGAACACCGGUGGCGAAAGCGGCUCUCUGGCUUGUAACUGACGCUGAGGCUCGAAAGCGUGGGGAGCAAACAGGAUUAGAUACCCUGGUAGUCCACGCUGUAAACGAUGAGUGCUAGGUGUUAGACCCUUUCCGGGGUUUAGUGCCGUAGCUAACGCAUUAAGCACUCCGCCUGGGGAGUACGACCGCAAGGUUGAAACUCAAAGGAAUUGACGGGGGCCCGCACAAGCGGUGGAGCAUGNCAUAUGAUUCUUUCUAAUGAGUUGUUUUGUCGCUUUUCAUUAUAGGUCAUAUGGGACUUUUUUUCUACACAAAAUAGGCUCCAUAAUAUCUAUAGUGGAUUUACCCACUACAAAUAUUAUAGAACCACAAAAAACUCUCUUAGUGUGAAUAUGUACUAAGAGAGUUUUUUGUAUAUAAAUUAUCUUCUACAACAAAUUAGAAAGGUAUUUAGCCUUUUCUUUUGAUAUGCCAAAAUUAAGAUUACGAUGACGUUGGAAUAAGGUAUAAAAAGUAAUGAAUGAUAGAAAAUUAUUUAGUAGGUAACUAAUCGGACUUUCUCCGACUGCAGUUAGCUCAACUUUUCGUUUAUCCCCUAAAUCUGAUAUAGUAACUAAGACUUGCCAACAUGUAUAUCUACUUAAACCUGGGUGCUUCAUGUAAUCAAAAAAAUUUCCCUGUCCAGAGUAUGAAAUUUCUUCAGAACUUUGCCGUUCAACACUACCGUUCAAUUGUUUUGUAGCAUUAUACAGUAUUUCUUCUAUCUCAAACUUACUUAAUUCACUAUAAAUUUGAUUUGAUUGUAAAUUAAAUUUUGUCAUUGUAGUAUUCUCCUUUUUGAUUAGUAUUUUUCCAGCUCUCUUUCUAAUUCGAGCUCCUUAAUUCUAUCUUGUAAUAUUGUGUUUGAAUGAUGUAAGCUAUAAAUUUGGUCUUGCAUUCUUUUAGAAUUGUAUUCAUUUGAAUAAUAGUGAAUAGCUUGUUGCAAAUUUGAUGCAAUAUCAGCGUUUAAAAAAUAUUGUAUACCUGAAAUAUGAUUAUAUGUUCUAAAUUCAGUUGGAAUGGAGUAGUACUCUUUUCGCAAAGUAGAUAAUAAUUUUUUCUUUUCUUCCCUAUAUUUUUCUUGAGUCGCAUUUAUUAUUUUAUCGUAUUUUAUUUUUUCUUUAACAAUUCUGAUUUUAUCUGCUACAUAUAGUACUGUAGAUAAAAUCCAAAUGAACAUGAUAAUUUCUGAAGUGUAAAAAAAUAGUGAUACAAUGAACAAGAAAAGAACAAUAGCACCGUAUAUUCGUUUUUUUGUAGUUUCAAAUUUUUCUUUAUGAAGAUUAAAUUCAAGUUCAUUAUAAUAUUCAUCAAAUUUAGAAAUUUUAUCUAUUUCUUCUUCUGCAAUUUUAAGAGUUCGAUGUGCUAACUCUUUGGUAGUUGGUCUAGGAACUGUUUUCUUUUCUUCAAGUUGUUGGGUAGGCAAUUCACUAUUAUCAUCAUACAUUGAUUGAAGGUAGGUUAGAAUAGCAAGCCCUCUAGUAUAAAUAAUUUGAUUACUAAUUCUUACAUAUUCCUCAAAAUCAUCAAUUUCAGAUAAUCGAAUUAAAUAUCCUUCAUCAUCAAAAAAUACAGUUAAGAAGUUAUCGGAUAGAAAUGUUUCAAAAUCUUUAAAUUGGUCAAAAUAUUCCUUUUCAUCUAAAAUUGCUCUUUUAAACUCAUCAUCUGGAGUCAAUGUGCCAUCAUAUAAGUCCCAUAUUACUGAUAGAGUAAGGUCAAAAUAAUCAUUAUAAGGAGACUGUGCUCUUUUAGGAUUUAUUCUUCCUUUUGGAAAAAUUCCAAAAUUUCCUAUUUGAUAAUUAUUACAAAUCUGAUAAACGUUUUUUUCUUUAUUGUCAAGCUCAAAUUCGAAAGGAAAAUCAUCAUCAUAUUCAGUGUAUGAUUUUAUAAUAUUAAGAAUCUCGCGUUGCUUAUCUCUGGAUAACUUACUAUAUGAUUUUCCAUAAUAUUUUCGAAAAAUUGCUGUACGAUAUGUUAUAAGAGUGUCGCCACUAUGUACUUUGUCAUCAUACCAUUCGAAAAUGUCUUUAUAUAUU
This 2783-nucleotide ribosomal RNA is filed under the name Streptococcus pneumoniae. RNAcentral describes it as "bacterial SSU rRNA". The stretch from base 1 to 1140 matches the Rfam family "Bacterial small subunit ribosomal RNA". Lineage: Bacteria; Bacillati; Bacillota; Bacilli; Lactobacillales; Streptococcaceae. The record is from RNAcentral.